CGGGAGGCAGCAGUGGGGAAUAUUGCACAAUGGGGGAAACCCUGAUGCAGCAACGCCGCGUGGAGGAUGACACAUUUCGGUGCGUAAACUCCUUUUAUAUGGGAAGAUAAUGACGGUACCAUAUGAAUAAGCACCGCUAACUCC
This 144-nucleotide ribosomal RNA is filed under the name uncultured bacterium. RNAcentral's name for it is "partial 16S ribosomal RNA". It matches the Rfam family "Bacterial small subunit ribosomal RNA", at positions 342 to 504 of the family's 1533-position model. The record is from RNAcentral.